UGAGAAAAGAGUGUUAUCACACAUAUAUAACUUAAUAAAUAGCACAAAGAUAUGCUAAAAUUUAAAAUUCAAUUAUACAUCUCUUGCACAAAAUUAUAAUUCAUGAGGAUCACAAGUUCUUUAACUACAAUAAAUUUUUAUCUACUUUACAAGAACAAUUUUCCUAAAUUAUAAAAAGAGUCUCCCGAGUCUUCAUUUAACCACGAACUUGCUAUUGGUCUUCCUGAUUUGAAAAUGAUAAAAAGGGAGUGAGUCACCACUUGGUCAGUAAGAAUAAUUUAAUACUCCAAUCCAAAGAUAAGAGAUAAUAUAUUGAUUCGAACCAUUACCUUUACUUCAAGCUUACCAUGCCCUUCAUAACCAUCUGAUUUCCACACCCUCCUAUAACUACAUCGAUCUUACUAAUCACAUGUUUUCACUUUUAUAUACCUCAUUUCAUUUAAAGGAUAUCCAUAAUUUACAUAACUACAUUCUCAUAAAUUACUUUUGGUUUAUUCACAAUCUCAUAAAGGCAAUAUCAUAUUUAUAUUAAUUACACAUAUUCACACAUAUGAUAUUCUUCUAUAAAUUAAUAUCCAUACAUAGAAUAUCAUUCUUUAAACACAUCACACAUAUAAUACAUUUUUUUGAACACAUAUUCACAUAUAUAGUAUCUUUCCUUAAACACGUAGAAUAUCCUAUCUCAUAUACGUAUCCACAUAAUAACAUAUUCUCAUUACUCACCAACAGAACCAAUCACAUAUGCACAAAGACUCAUUAUCGUAUCACACAACAUCAAUCAGUCACAAUCAUGGAAGGAGAUAAUAAUUCACAAUAUCAACAUAGACCAAAUCA
RNAcentral lists this long non-coding RNA (834 nucleotides) under Carica papaya (papaya). Its description in RNAcentral is "long non-coding RNA (CPAP_LNC013486)". Lineage: Eukaryota; Viridiplantae; Streptophyta; Magnoliopsida; Brassicales; Caricaceae. The record is from RNAcentral.